RNAcentral lists this non-coding RNA (201 nucleotides) under Neomoorella glycerini. The record is from RNAcentral. Lineage: Bacteria; Bacillati; Bacillota; Clostridia; Neomoorellales; Neomoorellaceae.
UACAUGGAAAAAUGGACAGGUGCCCCCGGGAGGGGGAGAAUAGGGAAGUCCGGUAACCGCUUUUAGGGGCGGCGAUCCGGCGCGGUCCCGCCACUGUGAGCGCGGAGUUUGCGAUAUAUAACGCCACUGGGAUAGCUCCCGGGAAGGCAUCGCAAACAAGGAAGCGCGAGCCAGGAGACCUGCCUGUCCAUUGGACCUCUC